UACGGGAGGCAGCAGUGGGGAAUAUUGCACAAUGGGCGCAAGCCUGAUGCAGCCAUGCCGCGUGUAUGAAGAAGGCCUUCGGGUUGUAAAGUACUUUCAGUCGUGAGGAAGGUGUUAAGGUUAAUAACCUUAGCAAUUGACGUUAGCGACAGAAGAAGCACCGGCUAACUCCGUGCCAGCAGCCGCGGUAAUACGGAGGGUGCGAGCGUUAAUCGGAAUUACUGGGCGUAAAGGGCACGCAGGCGGUUAAUUAAGUUGGAUGUGAAAUCCCCGGGCUUAACCUGGGAAUGGCAUUCAAGACUGGUUAGCUAGAGUCUUGUAGAGGGGGGUAGAAUUCCAUGUGUAGCGGUGAAAUGCGUAGAAUGUGGAGGAAUACCGGUGGCGAAGGCGGCCCCCUGGACAAAGACUGACGCUCAUGUGCGAAAGCGUGGGGAGCAAACAGGGAUUAGAUACC
This 454-nucleotide ribosomal RNA is filed under the name uncultured bacterium. RNAcentral describes it as "bacterial SSU rRNA". It matches the Rfam family "Bacterial small subunit ribosomal RNA", at positions 340 to 786 of the family's 1533-position model. The record is from RNAcentral.